CCCUUAGAUGUUCUGGGCUGCACGCGUGCUACACUGAUAUUGCCAAUAUGUCAUUCUUAUCCGAAAUGGAUUGGGUAAUCAAGUAAUGAAAUUUCAUGCUUGGAAUCGGUAAUUGCAAUUUUAUCGUGAACGAGGAAUUCCUAGUAAGCACUAGUCAUCAGCUAAUGUUGAUUAUGUCCCUGCCCUUUGUACACACCGCCCGUCGCUACUACUGAUUGGGUGUUCAAGUGAGAUGCUUAGACCCUUGUUGCAUGGUUCAUUAUUGUGCUCCGAAAGGAAAAAGUUUCAAGCUUGAGUGUCCAGAGGAAGUAAAAGUCGUAACA
This 323-nucleotide ribosomal RNA is filed under the name uncultured eukaryote. RNAcentral describes it as "partial 18S ribosomal RNA". It matches the Rfam family "Eukaryotic small subunit ribosomal RNA", at positions 1470 to 1796 of the family's 1831-position model. The record is from RNAcentral.